This 135-nucleotide small nucleolar RNA is filed under the name Aotus nancymaae (Ma's night monkey). RNAcentral's name for it is "Small nucleolar RNA SNORA31 (ENSANAG00000013872.1)". The record is from RNAcentral. Lineage: Eukaryota; Metazoa; Chordata; Mammalia; Primates; Aotidae.
AUGCAUCUAUUAUGUGGCAGACCUGCAGCAGUUACAGUCUGCUGCUCGUUUCCACUACAGAUGCAAGAAAACCAUGCCCUUGUGGUUUCUGUCUUUUUUAUUGUGGCAGCCAAGGAUGAAUAGAGGGAUACAGGA